This 59-nucleotide transfer RNA is filed under the name Lupinus angustifolius (narrow-leaved blue lupine). It matches the Rfam family "tRNA", at positions 7 to 64 of the family's 71-position model. From Rfam's summary of the family: Transfer RNA (tRNA) molecules are approximately 80 nucleotides in length. Their secondary structure includes four short double-helical elements and three loops (D, anti-codon, and T loops). Lineage: Eukaryota; Viridiplantae; Streptophyta; Magnoliopsida; Fabales; Fabaceae. The record is from Rfam by way of RNAcentral.
AUAGCUUAAUGGUAGAGCAUAGCCUUGACAAGGUUGAGGUUGAGGGUUUAAGUUCCACU